GAAAUGCGAUAAGUAGUGUGAAUUGCAGAAUUCAGUGAAUCAUCGAAUCUUUGAACGCACAUUGCGCCCUUUGGUAUUCCAUGGGGCAUGCCUGUUCGAGCGUCAUUUGUACCCUCAAGCUCUGCUUGGUGUUGGGUGUUUGUCCCGUCUCCGCGCGUGGACUCGCCCCAAAGUGAUUGGCAGCCGGCGUACUGGUCCCGGAGCGCAGCACAUGUCGCGCAAACGAGUGCCUUGGUACGGCGGCGUCCAUAAGCCCCUCUCUCACGCUCUUGACCUCGGAUCAGGUAGGGAUACCCGCUGAACUUAAGC
Molecule: unclassified non-coding RNA, 309 nt
Filed under: plant metagenome
Description: partial contains 5.8S ribosomal RNA, internal transcribed spacer 2, and large subunit ribosomal RNA
Rfam family: 5.8S ribosomal RNA (bases 1-105)
Source: RNAcentral